AUUGAACGCUGGCGGCAGGCCUAACACAUGCAAGUCGAGCGAGAGGCGGACGGGCGAGUAAUGUCUGGGAACCUGCCUGAUGGAGGGGGAAAACUACUGGAAACGGUAGAUAAUACCGCAUACGAUCAGAUGUGCCCAGAUGGGAUUAGCUAGUAGGUGGGGUAAAGGCUCACCUAGGCGACGAUCCCUACCUGGUCUGAGAGGGUGACCAGCCACACUGGAACUGAGACACGGGCCAGACUCCUACGGGAGGCAGCAGUGGGGAAUAUUGCACAAUGGGCGCAAGCCUGAUCGAGCCAUGCCGCGUGAGUGAAGAAGGCCUUCGGGUUGUAAAGCACUGUUAGCGGGGAAGCGUUACUCGCAGAAGAAGCACCGGCUAACUCCGUGCCAGCAGCCGCGGUAAUAC
This 406-nucleotide ribosomal RNA is filed under the name uncultured bacterium. Its description in RNAcentral is "partial 16S ribosomal RNA". It matches the Rfam family "Bacterial small subunit ribosomal RNA", at positions 29 to 526 of the family's 1533-position model. The record is from RNAcentral.